Sipha flava (yellow sugarcane aphid) is the source of this 729-nucleotide long non-coding RNA. RefSeq lists it as uncharacterized. NCBI's taxonomy places the organism in Eukaryota, Metazoa, Arthropoda, Insecta, Hemiptera, Aphididae. The transcript is spliced from 3 exons. The record is from RefSeq and is a predicted model, not a curated record.
UUUUUUUCAAUUUAUAGGGCGUGAGAUUUUUGAAAAUCUACAAAGGGGCGUAGAAUAGAAGAAGUUGGAGAUCACUGAUUUAGAGCAAUGAACAGAUGUAUAAACUUUAACAAAACUUUGAACGACCAUAACGGACAACGAGAAAAUUGAAAACACCGUUAUGGUUGAUGGAGGACUACAGUUGCAAAAGUCCAGACGAAAUUAAAGAAGAGGAAUAAAUACUUAACGUUCAUCAUUACGGUUGUCGAGAAACACGGUUCAGCAAGUCCGGCACUUUGGUUAGAUUAGGCAACGUACCAAAUGUACCGUAGUCUUAACAGUUUAGUAACAUCUUUGGUUUCUUUCGGUAAAAUCCUCGGUUGUAAAAACUAUCUAGAACCAUGGUUAGCUCAUACCCUUGUUAUCACUUAUUAAAGUGAAGCAACCAUCUCGCUAUGCGUUACUCAUUACGCGUUUCCACGAUCAAUAAAUUCAAGGUUUAAACAUUUAUUAAACAUUUACCGGUCCAAAUCGAUCUCCCAUCAAUCAAAUCAAUGACAAACUGGUGUUAAGUAACGAACAAAACAGAUUAAAUUCAAUAAAUUAAUCAUGAACUCUGCUGAUGGAUUGUUAAGUCAAGAUGUUUUGAAACCAGAAUUUCAAAAGAAUUGUAAUGUACCAGUAAAUGACAAGAACUCAAAAAUUAUCAAAAGAGAUAAAAAGGUAAAUUUGAGUGAAUUAUAUUGCUUU